This 382-nucleotide long non-coding RNA is filed under the name Theobroma cacao (cacao). RNAcentral's name for it is "long non-coding RNA (TCAC_LNC002759)". Lineage: Eukaryota; Viridiplantae; Streptophyta; Magnoliopsida; Malvales; Malvaceae. The record is from RNAcentral.
UCGGCGAUGUAACUCCUGAUGCAAAAGCAUCUAUGGCAAGGAUUAGGAGAUUAUCAGAGCCAAAAACAAGUAGCAGCCCGCAUGUUUCUUCAGUGAAGUCACGGAACUCUGAACCAUCAUCAAAAACAAAAGUAUCAGGUGGGCCUGAAAGCAAAAAAAUAUCAGCAAUUUUAAACCAUGAUAAAAGCAAGAUUGCUUCUCUUCCAGAACUCAAAACUAGAACAACUAAAGCACCUGAUGUUACCCACAGCAAAUCAGGAGGAAAUGAAAUGACACAGAAGGUGAAUGGAAGUACUUCUACUGCCAAGGUUACUGAACCAAAUAGGAACAAGGACAAAGUUUCAGUUCAUAUUGAUGGGGAUGACAAUACAGUAAUUGAGAA